Pistacia vera is the source of this 667-nucleotide long non-coding RNA. RefSeq lists it as uncharacterized. The record is from RefSeq and is a predicted model, not a curated record. NCBI's taxonomy places the organism in Eukaryota, Viridiplantae, Streptophyta, Magnoliopsida, Sapindales, Anacardiaceae. The transcript is spliced from 4 exons.
UCAACGAAGCACAAAGCACACUGAAAUACAACUCUUCCUCCUUCUCGCCCAACUGCUACUAAGCUUUUCAUUUCCUUAUUCUCUUCAUUUACUCCACUAUUCUCCACCAAAGCAGAUUGUUGGUUUUUAAUCCUUCUACAACGUCAUUCUCUGAGUCAUCAAGAGCGAUGUUUGGAGAGCGAGAAAGCGUAGGGUAAGAAAGAUGCGCAGGAUAUAUAAAACGGCUCUCAUCACCACCUUGCGCAAAUUAGGGCUACUCUUUGAACAAUUCUCAGUUUCAACUUUCAAUCAAAUGCAUCACUGAUUUGUUGGUUGAUAACUGCAAGUUCAUCGCAAUAGUUACUUACAAUGCCAUGAACAAAUGUACAUGUCACUCAGCCCACCAUCGCAGAAUUGAUCAAUACUUUCGAUGCCAGAAGACAGGUUGACGUUUAUUCAGAAUUGGGGUACACAAAAGACCUUGUUGGUCUACCUUGACCAUCGUGCCCCCCGUACUUUCUGUUGAAAGCAGUGUUGGGUCAAACGAGAUGAGUGAGUCCGUUCAAUGGACUGCUGAACUCACCCAUAGGUUCUUAGAACUGUUGGCUGAGCGGGUGAAAACAACCCACGGAGGAUUAGUGAACAAUUACAAAAUGUAGCACAGAAGAAACUGGAAGUGCAACAGUUG